ACAAUCUUUAUUAUUUAAAAACAACAGUGACAACAAAGCUUCCUAUUGUUGCUUUUCAACAAAAACAAAGUGAAAAGAGAUGGAGGUGAAAAAGAAAAAAGAGGAAAUGCUUGUUGGAGCUGUUGCUGAAGAUGCCAUGAGACUUCCCAGUGAUCUUCAGAUCAGGUUAACAGCCAAUAGGAUGGACACCCCAGUCUCAUCUUAGGUAAACCUUGAGAGUUUUAGAGUCUCUGUGGAUGGGUAGCAGGAAGGUCCCAUACAAUGCUUUGAAACACAGCUCAGUAGCAUCACAUACUAUGAAAUGCAG
Molecule: long non-coding RNA, 307 nt
Filed under: Numida meleagris (helmeted guineafowl)
Lineage: Eukaryota; Metazoa; Chordata; Aves; Galliformes; Numididae
Description: lncRNA (ENSNMEG00000018842.1)
Source: RNAcentral